This 157-nucleotide ribosomal RNA is filed under the name uncultured bacterium. Its description in RNAcentral is "partial 16S ribosomal RNA". It matches the Rfam family "Bacterial small subunit ribosomal RNA", at positions 1342 to 1500 of the family's 1533-position model. The record is from RNAcentral.
UGGCAGGUCAGCAUACUGCCGUGAAUACGUUCCCGGGCCUUGUACACACCGCCCGUCACACCAUGAGAGUUGGGAAUACCCGAAGCCUGUGAGCUAACUUUUAGAGGCAGCAGUCGAAGGUAGAAUCAAUGAUUGGGUGAAGUCGUAACAAGGUAGC